GCUUGUCUCAAAGAUUAAGCCAUGCAUGUCUAAGUGUAAAUAAGUCUAUACUGUGAAACUGCGAAUGGCUCAUUAAAACAGUUAUCGUUUCUUUGGUGGUUAUUGAUUCCAUGGAUAGCCGUGGUAAUUCUAGAGCUAAUACAUGCGCCCAGACCCAACUUUUAGGAAGGGUUGUAUUUAUUAGGUACAGAACCAAUGCAAGCUCCGCUUGACCUUUUGGUGAUUCAUGGUAACCGAACGAAUCGCACGGCACCAGCUGGCGAUGGACCAUUUCAGUUUCUGACCUAUCAGCUUCCGACGGUAGGAUAU
This 309-nucleotide ribosomal RNA is filed under the name uncultured fungus. RNAcentral describes it as "partial small subunit ribosomal RNA". It matches the Rfam family "Eukaryotic small subunit ribosomal RNA", at positions 30 to 336 of the family's 1831-position model. Lineage: Eukaryota; Fungi. The record is from RNAcentral.